Molecule: ribosomal RNA, 468 nt
Filed under: uncultured bacterium
Lineage: Bacteria
Description: partial 16S ribosomal RNA
Rfam family: Bacterial small subunit ribosomal RNA
Source: RNAcentral
GACGAACGCUGGCGGCGUGCUUAACACAUGCAAGUCGAACGGAAAGGCCCUGCUUUUGUGGGGUGCUCGAGUGGCGAACGGGUGAGUAACACGUGAGUAACCUGCCCUUGUCUUUGGGAUAACUUCAGGAAACUGGGGCUAAUACCGGAUAGGAGAUCCUGCAGCAUGGUGGGGGUUGGAAAGUUUCGGCGGUUGGGGAUGGACUCGCGGCUUAUCAGCUUGUUGGUGGGGUAGUGGCUUACCAAGGCUUUGGCGGGUAGCCGGCCUGAGAGGGUGACCGGCGACACUGGGACUGAGAGACGGCCCAGACUCCUACGGGAGGCAGCGGUGGGGAAUAUUGCACAAUGGGCGGAAGCCUGAUGCAGCAACGCCGCGUGCGUGAUGCCGGCCUUCGGGUUGUAAACCGCUUUCGCCUGUGACGAAGCGGGAGUGACGGUAAUGGGUAAAGAAGCACCGGCUAACUACGUG